RNAcentral lists this ribosomal RNA (597 nucleotides) under Triticum aestivum (bread wheat). Its description in RNAcentral is "partial small subunit ribosomal RNA". The record is from RNAcentral. Lineage: Eukaryota; Viridiplantae; Streptophyta; Magnoliopsida; Poales; Poaceae.
AUGUCUAGCUCCGGCAUCAACACCAUACCCGCAGCCAACCACGAGGAGCAGAGCCUGGCGGCGCCCGCCCCGCCCCCUACGGCCGCCGUCGCCGAGGGGAAAGGGAAGGUGCUUGCGCAACAGGCGCCUGCGCCGGUGGUUCGCAAGCGCAAGUCCGGCAGAGACCCGCAGAAAAGCCCGCCCCCAGCGGCCACCAGAGAGGAGCUGGAAUCCCGGGAGUCCCGGGAAGGCCCCUUGAAGGUCCUUGCGCUCCCGGCCCCAGGGGCCCCGCGUACUCACGCUGUCUCCGACGACAAGAUGAUGAGACGCGCUCGCGCCCGCACCCUGCAUGCAAAUGCUGUCUCCAACGACAAGAUGAUGGACGGGAAAAAUGAGAUGGCGCCGGUCCAGGGGGUGCCGCCCAUGCGGGGAAGCAUCGCGGCUUUAAGCUCGGUUGGUGGGGUUGUGAGUGAAAACGCGGGGAGCUUGGCAGCAGGGAAAAUGGCACCUAGAGGGGCUCAUGUCUCCAUGAUGAACAACCACAACUUUGAUUUGAAUGAGCUACCGACUGAACAUGAGCAGCUCCAGCAGGAGCAACCGCCCAAAGAGCAGGAUUAG